UACCCGCUGAGUUUAAGCAUAUCAAUAAGCGGAGGAAAAG
RNAcentral lists this ribosomal RNA (40 nucleotides) under Coffea pervilleana. RNAcentral's name for it is "partial 26S ribosomal RNA". The record is from RNAcentral. RNAcentral also lists the same sequence under 1 other name. Lineage: Eukaryota; Viridiplantae; Streptophyta; Magnoliopsida; Gentianales; Rubiaceae.